UACAGAGGUCUCAAGCGUUGUUCGGAUUCAUUGGGCGUAAAGGGUGCGUAGGUGGCGCCGUAAGUCGGGUGUGAAAUCUUGGAGCUUAACUCCGAAACUGCAUUCGAUACUGCCGUGCUUGAGGACUGGAGAGGAGACUGGAAUUUACGGUGUAGCGGUGAAAUGCGUAGAUAUCGUAAGGAAGACCAGUGGCGAAGGCGGGUCUCUGGACAGUUCCUGACGCUGAGGCACGAAGGCCAGGGGAGCAAACGGG
This 253-nucleotide ribosomal RNA is filed under the name uncultured bacterium. RNAcentral's name for it is "partial 16S ribosomal RNA". It matches the Rfam family "Bacterial small subunit ribosomal RNA", at positions 524 to 776 of the family's 1533-position model. The record is from RNAcentral.